CCUACGGGAGGCAGCAGUGAGGAAUAUUGGACAAUGGAGGCAACUCUGAUCCAGCCAUGCCGCGUGUAGGAAGACGGCCCUAUGGGUUGUAAACUACUUUUGUACGGGAAGAAAUACAGUCACGUGUGAUUGUUUGACGGUACCGUAAGAAUAAGCACCGGCUAACUCCGUGCCAGCAGCCGCGGUAAUACGGAGGGUGCAAGCGUUAUCCGGAAUCAUUGGGUUUAAAGGGUCCGUAGGCGGGUAAUUAAGUCAGUGGUGAAAUGCAGGGGCUCAACUCCGGCACUGCCAUUGAUACUGGUUAUCUUGAAUUAUUGUGAAGUGGUUAGAAUAUGUAGUGUAGCGGUGAAAUGCUUAGAUAUUACAUAGAAUACCGAUUGCGAAGGCAGAUCACUAACAAUAUAUUGACGCUGAUGGACGAAAGCGUGGGGAGCGAACAG
RNAcentral lists this ribosomal RNA (440 nucleotides) under uncultured bacterium. RNAcentral's name for it is "bacterial SSU rRNA". It matches the Rfam family "Bacterial small subunit ribosomal RNA", at positions 338 to 775 of the family's 1533-position model. The record is from RNAcentral.